RNAcentral lists this ribosomal RNA (542 nucleotides) under Pseudovibrio sp. 113V. RNAcentral describes it as "bacterial SSU rRNA". It matches the Rfam family "Bacterial small subunit ribosomal RNA", at positions 140 to 716 of the family's 1533-position model. The record is from RNAcentral. Lineage: Bacteria; Pseudomonadati; Pseudomonadota; Alphaproteobacteria; Hyphomicrobiales; Stappiaceae.
GGGACAACAGUUGGAAACGACUGCUAAUACCCUAUGAGCCCUAUGGGGGAAAGAUUUAUCGCCAUGAGAUGUGCCCGCGUUAGAUUAGCUAGUUGGUAAGGUAAUGGCUUACCAAGGCGACGAUCUAUAGCUGGUCUGAGAGGAUGAUCAGCCACACUGGGACUGAGACACGGCCCAGACUCCUACGGGAGGCAGCAGUGGGGAAUAUUGGACAAUGGGGGCAACCCUGAUCCAGCCAUGCCGCGUGUGUGAUGACGGCCUUAGGGUUGUAAAGCACUUUCAGCAGUGAAGAUAAUGACAUUAACUGCAGAAGAAGCCCCGGCUAACUUCGUGCCAGCAGCCGCGGUAAUACGAAGGGGGCUAGCGUUGUUCGGAAUCACUGGGCGUAAAGAGUACGUAGGCGGACUGAUAAGUUAGGGGUGAAAUCCCAAGGCUCAACCUUGGAACUGCCUUUAAUACUGUCAGUCUUGAGAUCGAGAGAGGUGAGUGGAACUCCGAGUGUAGAGGUGAAAUUCGUAGAUAUUCGGAAGAACACCAGUGGC